This 190-nucleotide unclassified non-coding RNA is filed under the name uncultured Herpotrichiellaceae. Its description in RNAcentral is "sequence contains ITS1". The record is from RNAcentral. Lineage: Eukaryota; Fungi; Ascomycota; Eurotiomycetes; Chaetothyriales; Herpotrichiellaceae.
ACGAGUUAGGGUCUUCCAGGCCCGACCUCCCAACCCUGUGUUUACUGAACCUCUGUUGCUUCGGCGGACCCGCCUCACGGCCGCCGGAGGAUCGCCGCGAGGCGUCCUCUGGCCCGCGUCCGCCGGUGGCCAACUCCAAAACUCUUGAAUGAAUCGUGUCAUAUUCUAAGUCUAUGAUUAAAUUAAAGCA